CUACGGGCGGCUGCAGUGGGGAAUAUUGCACAAUGGAGGAAACUCUGAUGCAGCAACGCCGCGUGGAGGAUGACACUUUUCGGAGCGUAAACUCCUUUUAUAUAGGAAGAAGAUGACGGUACUAUAUGAAUAAGCGCCGGCUAACUCCGUGCCAGCAGCCGUGGUAAUACGGAGGGCGCAAGCGUUACUCGGAAUCACUGGGCGUAAAGAGCGUGUAGGCGGAUUAAAAAGUCAGAAGUGAAAUCCUAUAGCUUAACUAUAGAACUGCUUCUGAAACUCUUAAUCUAGAAUAUGGGAGAGGUAGAUGGAAUUUCUGGUGUAGGGGUAAAAUCCGUAGAGAUCAGAGGGAAUACCGAUUGCGAAGGCGAUCUACUAGAACAUUAUUGACGCUGAGACGCGAAAGCGUGGGGAGCAAACAGGAUUAGAUACCCUCGUAGUC
This 439-nucleotide ribosomal RNA is filed under the name uncultured bacterium. RNAcentral describes it as "partial 16S ribosomal RNA". It matches the Rfam family "Bacterial small subunit ribosomal RNA", at positions 339 to 795 of the family's 1533-position model. The record is from RNAcentral.